RNAcentral lists this long non-coding RNA (257 nucleotides) under Homo sapiens (human). RNAcentral describes it as "HSALNT0390689". The record is from RNAcentral. Lineage: Eukaryota; Metazoa; Chordata; Mammalia; Primates; Hominidae.
AUUGUCCUUUGAAGAGAAGGUGAAGCAAGAUGGGCGAAGAGAAGGUGAAGCAAGGUGGGCAAAGAGAAGCCUUCACUGAAUGCCCUCCUUGCAGGAAUGCCAAACCGCACAACUAUCCAUGCAAAAACGAACCUUCAUAGGAACCAAAAGUCAAGUGAGUGAUCAGAGUACCUGGUUUUAACUUCAUACCACUGAAAAAGGAACUGAAGAAGCUCUGCCAACAAGGCAACUGGGGAAGAGAAGGGCUGAAUGAACAC